AUAACUUUAAGUUAAUAAAACUGUAAGCCUUCAAAGUUUAAAAUGAUUUGUUCAAGUUAUC
This 61-nucleotide transfer RNA is filed under the name Trichuris sp. 2 ARS-2017. RNAcentral describes it as "tRNA-Trp". Lineage: Eukaryota; Metazoa; Nematoda; Enoplea; Trichinellida; Trichuridae. The record is from RNAcentral.